Molecule: ribosomal RNA, 865 nt
Filed under: Catathelasma imperiale
Lineage: Eukaryota; Fungi; Basidiomycota; Agaricomycetes; Agaricales; Biannulariaceae
Description: partial large subunit ribosomal RNA
Source: RNAcentral
CCUAGUAACUGCGAGUGAAGCGGGAAAAGCUCAAAUUUAAAAUCUGGCGGUCUUUCAGGUCGUCCGAAUUGUAAUCUAGAGAAGUAUUAUCCGCGCUGGCCUGUGUACAAGUCUCCUGGAACGGAGCCUCAUAGAGGGUGASAAUCCCGUCUUUGACACGGAUCACCAGGGCUUUUGUGAUAUGCUCUCAAAGAGUCGAGUUGUUUGGGAAUGCAGCUCAAAACGGGUGGUAAAUUCCAUCUAAAGCUAAAUAUUGGCGAGAGACCGAUAGCGAACAAGUACCGUGAGGGAAAGAUGAAAAGAACUUUGGAAAGAGAGUUAAACAGUACGUGAAAUUGUUGAAAGGGAAACGCUUGAAGUCAGUCGCGUUGACCAGGAAUCAACCUUGCUUUUUUGCUCGGUGUACUUUCUGGUCGACGGGUCAGCAUCAAUUUUGACCGGUGGAUAAAGGUCAGAGGAAUGUGGCAUCUUAGGAUGUGUUAUAGUUUCUGGUCGCAUACAUCGGUUGGGAUUGAGGAACUCAGCACGCCGCAAGGCCGGGUUUUUAAUCACGUUCGUGCUUAGGAUGCUGGCAUAAUGGCUUUAAUCGACCCGUCUUGAAACACGGACCAAGGAGUCUAACAUACCUGCGAGUGUUUGGGUGGAAAACCCGAGCGCGUAAUGAAAGUGAAAAGUUGAGAUCCUUGUUAUGGGGGAGCAUCGACGCCCGGACCUGACCUUUUGUGACGGCUCCGCGGUAGAGCAUGUAUGUUGGGACCCGAAAGAUGGUGAACUAUGCCUGAAUAGGGUGAAGCCAGAGGAAACUCUGGUGGAGGCUCGUAGCGAUUCUGACGUGCAAAUCGAUCGUCGAAUUUGGGUAUAGGGG